This is a long non-coding RNA of Zonotrichia leucophrys gambelii, 636 nucleotides long. RefSeq lists it as uncharacterized. The transcript has 3 exons. The record is from RefSeq and is a predicted model, not a curated record. Lineage: Eukaryota; Metazoa; Chordata; Aves; Passeriformes; Passerellidae.
CUGACUUCAGUCCUGAUGUACCACUGGAGCUUUGACAGCAAUAAUGAACUCCUGCUCCACCAUAACAACAGACAAGGGAGAAAAACAAAGGGGCACACCUGUUGUGGAAGUGGCUGUAGGAUGCUAUCCAUGAAAAUGAAUUCCACACCUAUAUGGUUGAGAGGAAGGGAUGGUUUAAGGAUGCUGUCACGGUUCAUACUGGUGGAUUAGGCACAGGACACCAGACUACUAGCAAAGGCAUAAGCCAUUUGGCUUACACACAUGUCUGGCCCACAUUCCUGCAAGAGGUCUGCACUUACUACGGUGAGAGAGUCCAUCAAAGAAAAAGAGAGAGAUGUGAAGAGAAGAUUCUUGGAAAUUUGAUGACUGGAAAAAUGGUAGUUCUUGCCAAGGAUUUUUCUGAAGACUGGAAAAAACAACAGGACUGGGGACCAGCUAUCUGUGGGGUAAAGGAACUUUUAGCGUUGACGUCUUCCAUUCCUCAGAAAGACACAAAUUCCAGCCCAUUAAUCUCUGGUGGGGUCAGCAAGGUCUCCUGCUGUUCAUAGUGCAUCGGCAGUCAAAAAUAUUCUCAAAACAUUUCAAUAGGAUUUGAGAGCUCUAUCCAAAACAUUUCUUAAACUGUCAUCUGACAAA